RNA transcript from Gordionus sp. m RMFG-2023, 1728 nucleotides. It is a transcript of the gene named mRNA cap guanine-N7 methyltransferase-like, with no coding region annotated. The record is from RefSeq and is a predicted model, not a curated record. The transcript has 11 exons. NCBI's taxonomy places the organism in Eukaryota, Metazoa, Nematomorpha, Gordioida, Chordodea, Parachordodidae.
CGCGUUCGCGCUAACUAUGAAUGUAACGAUGAACGACAUUCGCGACAAAUAUUUCGCUAAAAAUGCUUCGUGAUAAAAGUUUUGUUGUUUAAUACAGAAUUAAUUUAUAAAUUAUGGCAUAUGAAAAUGAUAUUUCUUCUCAUUAUUCAAAUUUAAAUGAACAGAAUAUUAAACAAAGAAAGGAUAGCAAAAUAUUGUUUUUAAGAAAUUUUAAUAAUUAUUUAAAACAAGAAUUAAUAAAUAAAUAUGUUAACAUAUUGCACCAGAAUGGUGAACUUAAGGUGCUUGAUUUGUGUUGUGGGAAAGGUGGUGAUAUUAAUAAAUGGCAUUAUGUUAACCCUGAAAUAGUUGUAUUUGUGGAUAUUGCCAAACAAAGUAUUGAACAAUGCGAGAAACGAUAUGAUGCUUAUUUAAAAAAACAACAAAAUAAAAAAACAUAUAAAGCAUAUUUUAUCCAUGCUGAUUGCUGUGAAGUUAAUCUGAAAGAGAAAUUUUUCCAGCAAGGUAUAGAUGUUAAUAUUCAAUUCAAUAUAGUUAGCUGUCAAUUUGCGUUACAUUAUGCUUUCCAAUCGCUCCCUCGUUUAAAACAGAUGCUAUUGAAUGCUACACAAAAUUUAUCUGACUAUGGAUUUUUUCUUGGUUCCAUGACAGAUGCCUUCAAAUUGAUGAAGUUGCUCAAAGAGUUACCAGUUCAAAAUGUUGCUAUUAAUAGCCCAAAAUCUUGUUAUCAAUUCAAAAAUGACAUAUGCUGCAUUACGUUCGAUCACCCAACUUUCGCUCAAUACAAAAAUUGCCAUUCCAACAUCAAUAAUUUUGAUCAAACAUCUUUAAAUUCCAUCAAUAACCCUUCCCCCAAAAUAGCUAAUAAUGGAGACAAGAAAUCCUUUCAAGAAGUAAUCGUUCCUCCACUGGUUGGGGCUAAUCUCUCUUUUUAUUUGGAUGAGAGAGUUGAUUGUACCGAAUUUCUGGCUUACUUCCCAUUUUUAAAAAGAUUGCUUCAGGACAAAUUUAGCAUGAUGUGUGUCUUGAGCUAUAAUUUUCACGAAUUUUACUUCAAACACCAAAUCAACUUCGAUUUGGCAGAAAGAAUGAAGAUAUACCAAGAAUUCAACAUAUAUGAUACGAGUGAGGAUGAUGAAUUUAGACAUGUUAGACUCCUUUUAGAGAAAAUAGCCAAAAGGAAUGACGAAAUACCUCAUUUACCCCAUCACUCGUGGUAUAUAAAGAGAGAAAAUGAAUGUAAUUAAGAAUAUAGGUUAUAUAUUAUAUAUCGCAUAAUUUGCAACAUAGCCUUAAUGAGAUUUGUUUUAGUGGGUUAAUUUUUAUAUAAUAUAUAUUUUAAGGGAAUAUAAUCAUUUUCAGAGACUAACUCAUGCUUGCUCUUCACAGGGCGAAUACAUAAAACAAGCAUCCCCCCUAUUACUUAUGAUCCCUGGUUCUAAAAACUAAUAAGACACGGUUUGAGUGAGCUAAACCAGGUCGGGCCUCUUAGGUUUCUUAUAACAAAACAAAAAUAAGUCAUAUCACCUGAAAUCAUUUUUAUUAUAAAAUUAUUUUAGCACACGAUAUCUAAAUCAGAAUGGCAAGUUAUCGGAUGCUACAUGAUGUUUGCAUUCAGAAAAAUUCCACCUAAACCAUUAAAGAAAAAACCUAUUGUAUGAAAAGCUAGUGAAUUAUUAUAUCAUAAAUAUUUUUUAAUUAUACAUCGACUCGAUAAUAAUAAAUAAA